UCUUUAAAUCUACCCAAAGAUAACAUUUCUCCAACACCAAUAAAUGCUUCUGUAGAAAAGGAUCAUGAAUAAUUCGGCUAAAAGGAGUCAGGUAACGAGAGAUUAAAACAACAUCCCAGGGAGGGGAAAAACACCUUUUUUGAAGGUCAGAAACACGCUUUCAGUCCAUAAAAUGGAUUUGAACUAAAAAUGCUACAGUAGUAGCUCCUUUCGGUCAGAAUCACAUUAUAGUAAAUGCGUAUUGUCAUAACAUGAUGGUCCAAUUACAAGACAUAAUCGCUGUAAACUCACUUCCUGUGUGGCAGCAGAUCAUGUGACAGGAACCUUUACCAAGUCCUGCAGGUUUAAGUGAGCUUGUUAGCCGCAGCCCUGCUUUGUUUGAAAUCCCUUUAAUCAUCUGAUCUGUCUCUUGCUCUCCUCUUGGGUUUGUUUUCUCGCGGCUUCUCCCUCCAUCUCCUCACACAUCUCUGCAGCCUCAUAGUUUUUCCCUUUAAUUUUUCCCCUUAGUUUUGUUGUUGUUUUUUGAGUUUUUCUCCCUGCUGCUUCUAACACGCUGUCUUUUCUUCACAGCAGUGUCCACCAAGAUUUAACAGUUGGUACUAAGAGAGGAUCUGACGAACUUUUCUCCAGCGUCUCCAACGGCCCGUAUAUCAUGAACACCACAGGUCAGAACACACUCUGUGCACACAAGCAGAAUCCAAAG
This 703-nucleotide long non-coding RNA is filed under the name Oryzias sinensis (Chinese medaka). RNAcentral describes it as "lncRNA (ENSOSIG00000022403.1)". The record is from RNAcentral. Lineage: Eukaryota; Metazoa; Chordata; Actinopteri; Beloniformes; Adrianichthyidae.